UCUGGAGAGGCUUUAUGUGCUGGAUCAAUUAGUGCUCUGAGCGUCAUGACGCACCCAGCAUGACUCUGCAGUCUGGUGUCACCGGUCAUAAAACUUCUUUAUUUACUCUGCGAGCCUCACUGAGCAGCACGCAUUGACUUCCCCGCACACCCCAACCAAGCUCACCAGAAUCUGGCCAUAAUCUCUCCAUGAAAUGAAGCUCAUCUGAGUUACAUUUGCCCAGCCUUGCCCAUUUCUUCCCAUCGCACAGCUCCCAGCCUGGCGUGGCCCUGGAGGUUCUCCUCGCUCCCCAGUGCCCAAUACUUCACGGCCCUGGAGAGAGCAAUUCUGUUCCCUGCCCUGCCAUUCACCUCACUGAUGACUUCAGCUGUUUCAUAAAUCACCACAGCUCCACCGAAGACAAGCAAGGCACCCAGACAUGCCCUUGUUCGGAGAUGAGUGAUACUGAGUUGUUGCUGUCAGCUCAGAGAAAGAGGAAAAGACUUUUCUCUCUUCAAGCCCAUCUGGAUAACUCCAAUUUCAGAAGAACGAUGCACAUCAUUGAAAUAUUUAUGCCAUGCCUUUGAAGAAAUACACCUCAUAUUUCAAGAACUCACCAGGCUGAGGUUUAUGAAGACUAUUUAAAGCUGUGGCUCUUCCAUUC
This 643-nucleotide long non-coding RNA is filed under the name Numida meleagris (helmeted guineafowl). Its description in RNAcentral is "lncRNA (ENSNMEG00000010193.1)". Lineage: Eukaryota; Metazoa; Chordata; Aves; Galliformes; Numididae. The record is from RNAcentral.